GAUGAACGCUGGCGGCGUGCCUAAUACAUGCAAGUCGAGCGAACGGACGAGAAGCUUGCUUCUCUGAUGUUAGCGGCGGACGGGUGAGUAACACGUGGAUAACCUACCUAUAAGACUGGGAUAACUUCGGGAAACCGGAGCUAAUACCGGAUAAUAUUUUGAACCGCAUGGUUCAAAAGUGAAAGACGGUCUUGCUGUCACUUAUAGAUGGAUCCGCGCUGCAUUAGCUAGUUGGUAAGGUAACGGCUUACCAAGGCAACGAUGCAUAGCCGACCUGAGCGGGUGAUCGGCCACACUGGAACUGAGACACGGUCCAGACUCCUACGGGGGGCAGCGGUAGGGAAUCUUCCGCAAUGGGCGAAAGCCUGACGGAGCAACGCCGCGUGAGUGAUGAAGGUCUUCGGAUCGUAAAACUCUGUUAUUAGGGAAGAACAUAUGUGUAAGUAACUGUGCACAUCUUGACGGUACCUAAUCAGAAAGCCACGGCUAACUACGUG
This 497-nucleotide ribosomal RNA is filed under the name uncultured bacterium. RNAcentral's name for it is "partial 16S ribosomal RNA". It matches the Rfam family "Bacterial small subunit ribosomal RNA", at positions 28 to 507 of the family's 1533-position model. The record is from RNAcentral.